This 404-nucleotide ribosomal RNA is filed under the name uncultured bacterium. Its description in RNAcentral is "bacterial SSU rRNA". It matches the Rfam family "Bacterial small subunit ribosomal RNA", at positions 355 to 776 of the family's 1533-position model. The record is from RNAcentral.
UGGGGAAUAUUGCACAAUGGGGGAAACCCUGAUGCAGCGAUGCCGCGUGGAGGAAGAAGGUUUUCGGAUUGUAAACUCCUUUUAUCAGGGACGAUAAUGACGGUACCUGAAGAAAAAGCUCCGGCUAACUACGUGCCAGCAGCCGCGGUAAUACGUAGGGAGCGAGCGUUGUCCGGAAUUACUGGGUGUAAAGGGAGCGUAGGCGGGAUGGUAAGUCAGAUGUGAAAUAUACGUGCUCAACAUGUAGACUGCAUUUGAAACUGCUGUUCUUGAGUGAAGUAGAGGUAAGCGGAAUUCCUAGUGUAGCGGUGAAAUGCGUAGAUAUUAGGAGGAACAUCGGUGGCGAAGGCGGCUUACUGGGCUUUUACUGACGCUGAGGCUCGAAAGCGUGGGGAGCAAACAGG